UACGUAGGGUGCAAGCGUUGUCCGGAAUUAUUGGGCGUAAAGAGCUCGUAGGCGGUCUGUCGCGUCGGCUGUGAAAUCCCGAGGCUCAACCUCGGGUCUGCGGUGGGUACGGGCAGACUAGAGUGAUGUAGGGGAGACUGGAAUUCCUGGUGUAGCGGUGAAAUGCGCAGAUAUCAGGAGGAACACCGAUGGCGAAGGCAGGUCUCUGGGCAUUAACUGACGCUGAGGAGCGAAAGCAUGGGGAGCGAACAGG
Molecule: ribosomal RNA, 253 nt
Filed under: uncultured bacterium
Lineage: Bacteria
Description: partial 16S ribosomal RNA
Rfam family: Bacterial small subunit ribosomal RNA
Source: RNAcentral